AUAGAACAAAAGGCUGAAUGAAUACAGACAAAUUCUCUUUCUCUGGCUGCCAGUCUCUGAGCUGGGACAUCAGUGUUCUUCCGCCUUCAGACGCAGACUCAGACGAGACCUACCCCAGCGUGCUCCUGCAUCUCCAGCUUGCUGACUGCACCUCGUGGGCCUUCUCAGCCUCCAUAAUUACAUCCUGGUGAUGCCAUUCACCUCCCAACAGCCUCACUCAACAUUUAUAAAGGCAAAAUGAAAGUCGAUCAUGUCACAAUUCUAUCUUGAAUUGAUAUUAUGCCAGUUCACACUGUAAGGAAUUGGCAACAGAAAAGG
Molecule: long non-coding RNA, 318 nt
Organism: Manis javanica (Malayan pangolin)
Lineage: Eukaryota; Metazoa; Chordata; Mammalia; Pholidota; Manidae
Source: RefSeq, a predicted model, not a curated record